RNAcentral lists this long non-coding RNA (1365 nucleotides) under Salarias fasciatus (jewelled blenny). RNAcentral's name for it is "lncRNA (ENSSFAG00005019080.1)". Lineage: Eukaryota; Metazoa; Chordata; Actinopteri; Blenniiformes; Blenniidae. The record is from RNAcentral.
GUUUCAGUGACGGAGGUAAAUCCCACUGACGGUUGGAUGCCGUGAUGAGACGAGCAGAAGGAAGACGUGUCUCAUGUUCCUGCAGAGUCCCCGGCUGUACGAGGACGUGGCGGACGGAGGUCCUCGGGUGGGGACUCUCUCACUCACGCCGCGGACGGGCGACGGCGAGGACGGCUACAGCGUGGUCACGGCGCCCGGGCUCCCGCUCAGAGUUGAGGACGACUCCGGGGGGCUCGUCUACUCCGAGGUGGUCUUCCGUCAGAUGGACCGUCCGCACGGCGCCUCCUACAGGGCCCCUGCGGACGUGGUUUACUCCACGGCUCGGGCGGCUCGGGGGUCUGGAGACAGACCGCUGUACUCCACCGUCUCUCCGCUCGGCACUCUGGAGGACGUCCACUGACCCCGAACCGUCCCGGUCCUUCAUCUUUCACUGUUUCAGUAGUCUGACCACAAACAUGAUGCAGUCUGCAGACCCUGGACCUCCCAGACCCUGGACCUCCUCUGACUCUGGACCUCCUCUGACUCUGGACCUCCCAGACCCUGGACCUCCUCUGACUCUGGACCUCCCAGACCCUGGACCUCCCAGACCCUGGACCUCCCAGACCCUGGACCUCCUCAGACCCUGGACCUCCUCUGACUCUGGACCUCCCAGACCCUGGACCUCCUCUGACCCUGGACCUCCCAGACCCUGGACCUCCUCUGACUCUGGACCUCCCAGACCCUGGGCCUCCCAGACCCUGGACCUCCCAGACCCUGGACCUCCUCAGACCCUGGACCUCCUCUGACUCUGGACCUCCCAGACCCUGGACCUCCUCUGACCCUGGACCUCCCAGACCCUGGACCUCCUCUGACCCUGGACCUCCCAGACCCUGGACCUCCUCUGACUCUGGACCUCCCAGACCCUGGGCCUCCCAGACCCUGGACCUCCUCUGACUCUGGACCUCCCAGACCCUGGACCUCCCAGACCCUGGACCUCCCAGACCCUGGACCUCCCAGACCCUGGACCUCCUCUGACUCUGGACCUCCCAGACCCUGGACCUCCUCAGACCCUGGACCUCCCAGACCCUGGACCUCCUCUGACUCUGGACCUCCCAGACCCUGGACCUCCUCUGACUCUGGACCUCCUCAGACCCUGGACCUCCUCAGACCCUGGACCUCCCAGACCCUGGACCUCCUCUGACUCUGGACCUCCCAGACCCUGGACCUCCCAGACCCUGGACCUCCCAGACCCUGGACCUCCCAGACCCUGGACCUCCCAGACCCUGGACCUCCCAGACCCUGGACCUCCUCUGACUCUGGACCUCCCAGACCCUGGACCUCCUCAGACCCUGGGCCUCCCAGACCCUGGACCUCCUCUGAAUAAAC